AGAGUUUGAUCAUGGCUCAGGAUGAACGCUGGCGGCGUGCCUAACACAUGCAAGUCGAGCGAUUUACUUCGGUAAAGAGCGGCGGACGGGUGAGUAACGCGUGGGUAACCUGCCCUGUACACACGGAUAACAUACCGAAAGGUAUGCUAAUACGAGAUAAUAUACUUUUAUCUCAUGGUAGAAGUAUCAAAGCUCUGGCGGUACAGGAUGGACCCGCGUCUGAUUAGCUAGUUGGUAAGGUAACGGCUUACCAAGGCGACGAUCAGUAGCCGACCUGAGAGGGUGAUCGGCCACAUUGGAACUGAGACACGGUCCAAACUCCUACGGGAGGCAGCAGUGGGGAAUAUUGCACAAUGGGCGAAAGCCUGAUGCAGCAACGCCGCGUGAGCGAUGAAGGCCUUCGGGUCGUAAAGCUCUGUCCUCAAGGAAGAUAAUGACGGUACUUGAGGAGGAAGCCCCGGCUAACUACGUG
This 472-nucleotide ribosomal RNA is filed under the name uncultured bacterium. RNAcentral's name for it is "bacterial SSU rRNA". It matches the Rfam family "Bacterial small subunit ribosomal RNA", at positions 8 to 507 of the family's 1533-position model. The record is from RNAcentral.